UACGUAGGGCGCAAGCGUUGUCCGGAAUUAUUGGGCGUAAAGAGCUCGUAGGCGGCUUGUCACGUCGAUUGUGAAAGCCCGAGGCUUAACCUCGGGUCUGCAGUCGAUACGGGCUAGCUAGAGUGUGGUAGGGGAGAUCGGAAUUCCUGGUGUAGCGGUGAAAUGCGCAGAUAUCAGGAGGAACACCGGUGGCGAAGGCGGAUCUCUGGGCCAUUACUGACGCUGAGGAGCGAAGCGUGGGGAGCAAACAGG
This 252-nucleotide ribosomal RNA is filed under the name uncultured bacterium. Its description in RNAcentral is "partial 16S ribosomal RNA". It matches the Rfam family "Bacterial small subunit ribosomal RNA", at positions 524 to 776 of the family's 1533-position model. The record is from RNAcentral.